UUAUAUAAAAGGUAUAUUCUGCCCUAUGAUUUAUAUUAAAUGGCUGCAGUAUUUUGACUGUGCAAAGGUAGCAUAGUAAUUAGUUUCUUAAUUAGAAGCUGGUAUGAAUGAAUUAAUGAGAAAUAUAUUUUAUUAAUUUUAUUAUUAAAAUUUAAAAUUUAAGUUAAAAUGCUUAAUGAAUUUCUAGGGACGAUAAGACCCUAUAGAACUUUAUAUUAUAAUUUUUAAUUGUUUUUGUUUAAAAUAUUCAUUUAAUUUUUGUAAUAAUUUGCUGGGGUGGUGAAUAAAUUUUAACUUUAUUAUUUUAUAUCAGAAAUAUCUGUUAGUUUUGAUCCUACUGGACUUAAGAUUAAGUUACCUUAGGGAUAACAGCGUAAUUUUAAUGGCGAGUCCAUAUCUAUAUUAAUUUUGCGACCUCGAUGUUGAAUUAAGGUAAGACUAAGGAGCAGAAUUCUUAGUUCUAAGUCUGUUCGACUUUUAAAUCCUUACAUGAU
Molecule: ribosomal RNA, 494 nt
Filed under: Exitianus nanus
Lineage: Eukaryota; Metazoa; Arthropoda; Insecta; Hemiptera; Cicadellidae
Description: partial large subunit ribosomal RNA
Source: RNAcentral